GGCAAAUGAGAAGAAGAAAAUGGAGGCUCUAGGAGACAUCCCUGAGAGGAGAAAAGAUAACGCCCCACCAAUUGUGUCAAGAAGAAGCCCCUCCAGUGGAUGAUUGUAUAGUGCUCCGAAUGCAUAAGGGACAACAAGCCGAUGAUGUUGAGAAUGAAUAUGCCUAUAUAGAAACUUGUUGUGAUGCAUGUAUCUAUGCAUGAAAUACUGCCAAGUAUCCAAAACCAACAUAGCCAUAACAAACUGUCUAGCUAGAACAAUUAGGGAAGGUUGUUGAUCUAUAGCAGCCUGAGAAUCAUUUGCAGUUACCGUAAACAAGAGGAUAGCAACAACAGCUUG
This 339-nucleotide unclassified non-coding RNA is filed under the name Hevea brasiliensis (rubber tree). Lineage: Eukaryota; Viridiplantae; Streptophyta; Magnoliopsida; Malpighiales; Euphorbiaceae. The record is from RNAcentral.